Molecule: long non-coding RNA, 2957 nt
Organism: Heterocephalus glaber (naked mole-rat)
Lineage: Eukaryota; Metazoa; Chordata; Mammalia; Rodentia; Bathyergidae
Source: Ensembl
GAUCUGUUCAAGUGAGUAUAGACAAUCAUGUUUGGGGCUCUUGUAGACAGAACCGAAGCAUUGAACAUAGAGAUGGAUUUAAAUCAGACCUUCUCUAAGAGUUUAUAUAAGCUGAGAUUUGGUGAUUCGAAUAACAUUUAUGUAUGGCCGAGUGGAAUUUGAGACACUUUGUUUUCAUAUAUUUAUUUUUAAAAAUCAUUUGAACAAUGCUGUAAUUUAAGUAUUCUGUCCCUCUCUUCUGUAAGAAUGAAAAAAAUCAGAUAAUUAAUUUAUUUGUCUAUAAUCACAUAGCAGAAUUAUAAAUAGCAGAGCUGGGAUAUACAGAUUUUAUCCUCUGACUCAAAACCGAUUGCUUUCACAUGAUAAUAGAUGUGUAUAAAUAUUAUUUGUUCAAUUGAGACUACUUGCUUGAAAAUGGUGAACAUAAACAGAUAUUUAUUUUUUACUUUACUAAGUGCAUAGGUUGAUUUAGAUUUCAUGUGGUUUUAAGCUUAUUAAAAAGUUUGGGGUGCUCUUUUAGAAAAGUAAUACAAAAUGAUGAAGAUACUUCCUCAGGAUUUGACAAGGGUUAAUACAUUUGAGGAGACCUGAAACCUAAGCUUGACUAAAUGUUUUCCAAGACUAAACACCUGAUACCUAAACACAGUUAUUUGCACAUUAAAUCGUCACUGAAAAUAACAGAAAACCCAUUUACUAUUCUGGAUUGUUAUGACCUUUUCCAGCUGUUUCCAAUCAGAGAAGAGAUAUUUUGAUGGUUUCUGGAGACAGUCUAUUCAUCUAAAAGCUGAGGCCCAUCAGUAGUAUGUAAAACAACACAAUAGUAUCAAUGGACUUUGAGAAUCACAACUAGAGCUACUGUUGCUGUUGAGCUGCUUCCUACGUGGCAGGCCUCCAAGAAGCUGAGAUUAUUACUGGAUGUGUGAGAUACCUGGAACACAAACUAAAGAAGGGAAGCCGUGAUGGGGGUGUCAGCCAGGAUGGCAGGACAGGUAAAUUAGAUACAGAGCAAAGAAAUUAUUGAGUCACUAAUAUCAUCAAGACUGUUGUGUGGAAAUGUGUGCUCGGGCACAACUGUUUACCAUAAGAACUGGUUCCUGACUGCCAUAGAUUUUCUCACUUUUCUCUGGAGUUCUAAUCCAAAGUCACCCUGAAACAUAGCAAAAAAUUUUAUCCUUGAAUGAUUCACUUCCUGAACAGUACUUGGUCCUCUUAGUCAUUACUUUUGGGUGAGAGAGUAAAUGAAAUCAUACCACCAGUUAUAUUUUAGUCUUCAGAGAAAUGGUAGAUUGAUGAUUCUCUGGCCUUCUUAAAUCCCAACUUCAAAAAUAAGAAGCUAGAAAAAACUUAUUCACAUUUCUAGCUUUAAAAGGAGAUAAAAACCAAAUUAGCUAUCUUUGUUUAGCAAAGGUAUAGAAACGUUCUUCUAGUUAUAACCACCUAAAGAUUGAGGGACCUAUUUGUGUUCGUUGAGAGCUGAGUGAUACUAAAGGAAUUCAGAUUUGGAUAGGCUCAACACUUGUCUUAUACAACACUGCAAGGGUUCAGAUCAUAGGUUUAAGCAAAUAAUCUUUAUAGCCACUUUCAAUUUUGGGUGGCAUAUUUAAAUAAUAAGAGCUAUUCAUGCUUAAGAACAAUUGGGGUUUUAAAAAAGAAAAGAAACUUUGGCGAGCUUGUGUUUUCCCAUUUGCUCUUCUAAUUAUCACCACACCAGUACUCUACCAAUAUAUAGGAAGCAAAUAGAUGAAGAGUAUGUUUGGUAAAAGAAUAAUAAUCCUAAAUUGUGUGUCAAGACAACAGAUACAAUUUUAUUUCUUAUGGAACUGUUCAUGGAUUGCCAAGUAACUCAUCUAGACUUUUCAUACUUUCUCUUGAAGCUGUUUUUAAAGUCAGCAAAAAUAAAGAGUGAUCAGCUGUAAUUUAAGUCAUAAAUAAUCAGCACAAAGAAUAUGGAUGAAUAACAGUUGGAGGGCUGGAAGCUGACUGUAGUUAUUAGUGCUGAUCUAAAACAAAAGGACUCAUAAAGCAAAAUGGGGUUUCCUUGUAUUUUCUGUUAUCUAGCUUCAGUAAAUUUCUGCUUUAAAUAACUGAAAGUCACUUUUUUGUCUUCUUUCUGAACAAAGGCUUCUCUCUAAAUGCAUGUGAAGUUUUCAUGUGAUAUGCUUACUAAUGGGCCAGAGGUCCUCAUUUUGUCUAAAUAAAUAUUAUAUGGAGUACUCUUCAUUGUGCACUAGCAAUAAUUACUUUUAUUUAAAUAAAUAAAGGCUCUUCAUUGACAUCAAUGGACAAAGAUCCAUAAUCAUACAUAUCUCUUUUUAAUAGCCUAUAUUAUCAUUUGCAUGCUGUAAUAUAAAGUAGAUCAACCAGAGACAGUUCCAUUUAAAAAUUGUUAUAUUCUUCAAAUAUUUACCAUGAUCAUUAUAUUCGCCAUACUGAAGACAUUUUUAACUUCGUUAUGAACUAUUAUGUUUUUUCAACAUGAUUUCUUUUUAGUCUUAACUUUAAAGCUGAGAAAAUGCUGAAUGGAAUUCCAUUAAAUAACGAUAUUAUUUAUUAUCAUUACCUCAGUUAAUAGUGCUACUUGAAAUCACAGUGCAUCUAAAAUUAUCAUUUGCAAAUUCUAUACUGCUGUUUUCCAGGAGGACAUGUAAAUGCACACACAUAAAACACAGUGACUCUGUCAGUGGAUAUUUAUAGUUCCCCUGAUAAAAGGGGGGGGGGUAAGAAUCAUGCUCACCAGAUUCUUGUAGUGUCUUUCUGCAUAGAAAGUGGAGAUUUUCUUAUUAUUGAGCCAGGCAUGAGAUUUGCAUCCAGCUUUUUUUGUCUUUUUUUUUUUUUGUGUGUGUGUGGGUUAUUAUAGUGAUUGUCCAUGAUUUUAUUUUAAAUGUCCUUAUUCAUUUAUUUAUUCAAAUCUAUUGCUUCUCUGGUUAUACUACUCAUGAAGAAGCUGAAGCAGCAGC